This 441-nucleotide ribosomal RNA is filed under the name uncultured bacterium. RNAcentral's name for it is "partial 16S ribosomal RNA". It matches the Rfam family "Bacterial small subunit ribosomal RNA", at positions 338 to 795 of the family's 1533-position model. The record is from RNAcentral.
CCUACGGGUGGCAGCAGUGGGGAAUAUUGCACAAUGGGCGAAAGCCUGAUGCAGCAACGCCGCGUGAAGGAAGACGGUUUUCGGAUUGUAAACUUCUGUUCUUAGUGAAGAAUAAUGACGGUAACUAAGGAGCAAGCCAUGGCUAACUACGUGCCAGCAGCCGCGGUAAUACGUAGGUGGCAAGCGUUCUCCGGAAUUACUGGGUGUAAGGGGAGCGUAGGCGGGAAGCCAAGUCAGCUGUGAAAACUACGGGCUUAACCUGUAGACUGCAGUUGAAACUGGCUUUCUUGAGUGAAGUAGAGGUUGGCGGAAUUCGGAGUGUAGCGGUGAAAUGCGUAGAGAUUCGGAGGAAUACUGGUGGCGAAGGCGGCCAACUGGGCCUUAACUGACGCUGAGGCGCGAAAGUGUGGGGAGCAAACAGGAUUAGAUACCCCAGUAGUC